GAUAAGAACGUAGCGAAAUGCGAUAAGUAAUGUGAAUUGCAGAAUUCAGUGAAUCAUCGAAUCUUUGAACGCACAUUGCGCCCCCUGGUAUUCCGGGGGGCAUGCCUGUUCGAGCGUCAUUUCAACCCUCAAGCUCUGCUUGGUAUUGGGCGUCGCCGGGGAGUCUCCCCGGCGUGCCUCAAAGCCAUCGGCGGUGGUGCCUUUCUCUAAGCGUGGUAGAAUUUUUAUUCGCUUCUGAGUUGGGCUUCGCCUGCCGGACAAACCGGGCCCUCGCGGCCCACCUUCUCAGGUUGACCUCGGAUCAGGUAGGGAUACCCGCUGAACUUAAGCAUAUCAAUAAGCGGAGGA
RNAcentral lists this unclassified non-coding RNA (348 nucleotides) under soil metagenome. RNAcentral describes it as "partial contains 5.8S ribosomal RNA, internal transcribed spacer 2, and large subunit ribosomal RNA". The stretch from base 4 to 119 matches the Rfam family "5.8S ribosomal RNA", at positions 39 to 154 of the family's 154-position model. The record is from RNAcentral.